This 457-nucleotide ribosomal RNA is filed under the name Arthrobacter luteolus. RNAcentral's name for it is "bacterial SSU rRNA". It matches the Rfam family "Bacterial small subunit ribosomal RNA", at positions 8 to 459 of the family's 1533-position model. The record is from RNAcentral. Lineage: Bacteria; Bacillati; Actinomycetota; Actinomycetes; Micrococcales; Micrococcaceae.
AGAGUUUGAUCCCUGGCUCAGGAUGAACGCUGGCGGCGUGCUUAACACAUGCAAGUCGAACGAUGACUUCUGUGCUUGCACAGAAUGAUUAGUGGCGAACGGGUGAGUAACACGUGAGUAACCUGCCCUUAACUUCGGGAUAAGCCUGGGAAACCGGGUCUAAUACCGGAUACGACCACCUGGCGCAUGCCAUGGUGGUGGAAAGCUUUAUGCGGUUUUGGAUGGACUCGCGGCCUAUCAGCUUGUUGGUUGGGGUAAUGGCCCACCAAGGCGACGACGGGUAGCCGGCCUGAGAGGGUGACCGGCCACACUGGGACUGAGACACGGCCCAGACUCCUACGGGAGGCAGCAGUGGGGAAUAUUGCACAAUGGGCGAAAGCCUGAUGCAGCGACGCCGCGUGAGGGAUGACGGCCUUCGGGUUGUAAACCUCUUUCAGCAGGGAAGAAGCGAAAGUGA